Molecule: long non-coding RNA, 1819 nt
Filed under: Ananas comosus (pineapple)
Lineage: Eukaryota; Viridiplantae; Streptophyta; Magnoliopsida; Poales; Bromeliaceae
Description: long non-coding RNA (ACOM_LNC004631)
Source: RNAcentral
GUUGAGGCGGUCUUCGUAUAUUUCGACCUUAUUUAUCUGAGAAUUUAUAUUAGGCUGUAAAAUUGUUAGUUUGCCCUCCAUUGAGGGACUGGUAGAAGUAUAGGAAAAAGUCUAAAUUGUAAUAAGUAGUACCAUAUAGAAUAUAAUCCCAAAUCAACCAUAAAGUGCUAUGCAUAGAAGAGAGAAGUCUAAUUAGAAAUAAAAUAGCAAUUUUAUAUUUAUAUAAGGUUUUAUAUUUUAUGUAAUGUAAAAAGUUUUAGAUAAAUGUUGUAAAUUUUACAUAGAAUAAUUGUAGUCGAAAAGACUUGCUUGUAAUACAGGAAGACGGACAAAUAUAUAUUGAGUAUGGCUACUAUACUUUUACGAGUAUAGAGUCAUUCAUACUUAUAAGUCGUUUUCGAUAAUAAUGUGACGCCCCAACUUCCUAGGGUGUCACCCAUCCUAGAACUACUUUCAUCCUAGCACAUUUAACACUUUUAACCUCUUGGGUUUAACACGUCUCUUAACCUCUUAGGUCUGGCCAUCACCGAAAAUGUUUAAGCCGGUUUAAGAGUUUUAGUCUUAUUAUAUUUUAUAUAUAGGACUAUCUAUGGUCUCACAUUCUCCUCUUUUUAAGUCUUGACGUUCUCGUCAGACUCAAACUCACAAAUAUCAGGCGAUGUGAGAUUCGUCUUGCUAGACUUGUCAUUCCGACAGACCCUGACUUAGCUGAGACUCAUCUCAUACUUUCGGCUAAUAAUCGGCUCUGAUACCAACUAUGACGUCCUAAUUUUUCAAGGGAUCAUCCAUCCAAGGACUAUUCCCGUCCUAGUACACUUAAGGGGGCGUUUGGAUUGACGUAUUUGUAGAUUCAACGUAAGUCAAGUGUAGUGGUGUUUGAGUUUCCCUGAAGUGUGAUUAUUUUUUUGUUGUUUGUUUUGACGUAACUCGUACCGCCUGAAAGUUAAAUUCAAUCACUUAUGUUGUUUGUUUUGAUGUAACUUGGUGUUGGUAAAAUUAGUUUUUUGAAUUUCGUUGUUUGUUUUGAUGUAAGUAAGUGGAUCUCAUUAUCUCCUAAAUAUAGUAGUAAAUUUAUCACUAUAAAAUUUAAUCUAUUAUAUAAUUAAUUUUUUUAUUAUUAUUUAAAGAUAAUUCUAAUUUAUUAUAAAUAAGGUAAUUCUAACCCAUUAUAAAGAAAGUAAAGUUUAGGUUUUACUGUUUAAUAAAUUUUUUAGAGGAGGUUGAGUGUAGUGAAAGUCAAGUUCGACACUUGAGAGGAGGAAGUCGAGAGUAGAUGAAGUAGAGCUCUAACGUAACUUGAGUUACAUUAUAUUUUUUUACUUACAUCAAAACAAAUAACGGAAGUGAUGGAACUUGAGUUCCAUUAUUCCACUUACACCAAAACAAACGGGCCCUAAUUCUUUUAACCUCUUGGGCCUAACCACCACCUUAAUAAUUUAAAUUGGGUUACAAGUUUUAGCCCUAUUAUAUUUUAUAUAUAAGACUAAUGGGUCUCACAAAUAAAACUUUCGAAUUGACGAUUCAUACCGUUAAAUAUGAUUUAGAAUAUUUGAAACUUUUAGAAACUAAAUUUCAUAAAAUUUUGAAAUUAUAAUAAAGUCUAUUAAACGGACAUAAAAUUAACGGUCAAAAUCAAAUGACCUCCUAAAAUUAGAGGAUCAGAUUCUUUAAUUUAAAUCAGAGUUAUUAAUUUUUAUCUAGAUAGUGAAUAAAAUUUUCUAUCAAAAAUUCAACUAAUUUUAAUUGUUUACACUGUUAAACCAGCAAUUAUUUUUUAUCGACUGUUAAAACUUAUCAACUUUGAGAUUUUUUGAUCUAA